ACACCUAAAUCAAAAAUGAAAAAUGCAAUUAGCCCCCUCUUCUCGUUCUGCAGCAGAUCGGCGGCGCGUUGUCCGACUUGUCGUCGGCGGAACCGCGCCGGCGACGCCAUCGCCCCGAACAGGCGGUCCUUCUCGCAGCAGCUCGACGAGGUCAGCGAGAGGCUCCUGCUCGGCCUCCGCGAGGCGGUGGCAGCACCCGACGGUGGCAGCGCCAUGGACAACGACGAGUCCCCGGGGGUCGGCGAGGCGGCUUCUCUGCGGCCAUGGAAGGCGCGCACCCGACGACGACGCCGCGCCUUGAUGUCGUCCCCCGCGCCCGUCGCGAGCCCUUCGCCCCAGGCGUCGGAGCGCAAGCGGAGGCUGGUCCGUGCCGACGCGCUCGACGGGGCAUGGUUCUCCGCGACGCUCUUUGCCGAGGAGAUCGAGGAGGACGUGUACGCCCGCGCCAUGCAGAAGCAGCUUGAUGUGGACUCGAUGUCCCCGGCGCCCGGGGGGGCACGGGCUUAUGCAUCUCACGGCAUGGACGGUGGUGCCCGGCGAGGUAGGCAUGCGAGCGCCGAGAUCGCUGGAUCCGGCCCGAAUACAGGACGAGGUCAAAAUCCCCUCUGCCUCGUCCGGGGUCGGGAUGGGGGCGGAGAGAAAUUUGGGGGACUUUUUCGCAUUAAACCUAAACUGUUAUGCCACUUAAGUAGAAAACGGACCCCAUCUGCCAUAAGCGCACUUAAACGAGCCAAUUGUGCCCAUAAGUGGUUUUUGCAAAACCAUUACGCAAGAUGUGGUGUUUUCUACAUAGAAACUGUAUCCUAA
Molecule: ribosomal RNA, 807 nt
Filed under: Triticum aestivum (bread wheat)
Lineage: Eukaryota; Viridiplantae; Streptophyta; Magnoliopsida; Poales; Poaceae
Description: partial small subunit ribosomal RNA
Source: RNAcentral